RNAcentral lists this ribosomal RNA (246 nucleotides) under uncultured bacterium. RNAcentral describes it as "partial 16S ribosomal RNA". It matches the Rfam family "Bacterial small subunit ribosomal RNA", at positions 15 to 257 of the family's 1533-position model. The record is from RNAcentral.
GAUCAUGGCUCAGGAUGAACGCUAGCUACAGGCUUAACACAUGCAAGUCGAGGAGCAUCAGGGUGUAGCAAUACACCGCUGGCGACCGGCGCACGGGUGAGUAACACGUAUCCAACCUGCCCUUUACUCGGGGAUAGCCUUUCGAAAGAAAGAUUAAUACCCGAUGGCAUAACAUGACCUCCUGGUUUUGUUAUUAAAGAAUUUCGGUAGAGGAUGGGGAUGCGCUCCAUUAGGCAGUUGGCGGGG